This 820-nucleotide ribosomal RNA is filed under the name Escherichia coli. RNAcentral describes it as "partial 23S ribosomal RNA". It matches the Rfam family "Bacterial large subunit ribosomal RNA", at positions 415 to 1237 of the family's 2925-position model. The record is from RNAcentral. Lineage: Bacteria; Pseudomonadati; Pseudomonadota; Gammaproteobacteria; Enterobacterales; Enterobacteriaceae.
GGGCGGGACACGUGGUAUCCUGUCUGAAUAUGGGGGGACCAUCCUCCAAGGCUAAAUACUCCUGACUGACCGAUAGUGAACCAGUACCGUGAGGGAAAGGCGAAAAGAACCCCGGCGAGGGGAGUGAAAAAGAACCUGAAACCGUGUACGUACAAGCAGUGGGAGCCUCUUAAUGGGGUGACUGCGUACCUUUUGUAUAAUGGGUCAGCGACUUAUAUUCUGUAGCAAGGUUAACCGAAUAGGGGAGCCGAAGGGAAACCGAGUCUUAACUGGGCGUUAAGUUGCAGGGUAUAGACCCGAAACCCGGUGAUCUAGCCAUGGGCAGGUUGAAGGUUGGGUAACACUAACUGGAGGACCGAACCGACUAAUGUUGAAAAAUUAGCGGAUGACUUGUGGCUGGGGGUGAAAGGCCAAUCAAACCGGGAGAUAGCUGGUUCUCCCCGAAAGCUAUUUAGGUAGCGCCUCGUGAAUUCAUCUCCGGGGGUAGAGCACUGUUUCGGCAAGGGGGUCAUCCCGACUUACCAACCCGAUGCAAACUGCGAAUACCGGAGAAUGUUAUCACGGGAGACACACGGCGGGUGCUAACGUCCGUCGUGAAGAGGGAAACAACCCAGACCGCCAGCUAAGGUCCCAAAGUCAUGGUUAAGUGGGAAACGAUGUGGGAAGGCCCAGACAGCCAGGAUGUUGGCUUAGAAGCAGCCAUCAUUUAAAGAAAGCGUAAUAGCUCACUGGUCGAGUCGGCCUGCGCGGAAGAUGUAACGGGGCUAAACCAUGCACCGAAGCUGCGGCAGCGACACUAUGUGUUGUUGGGUAGGGGAGC